RNAcentral lists this long non-coding RNA (692 nucleotides) under Homo sapiens (human). RNAcentral describes it as "HSALNT0317678". Lineage: Eukaryota; Metazoa; Chordata; Mammalia; Primates; Hominidae. The record is from RNAcentral.
CUUGAGAGAGGUCAGCGUGAGCCCCUUGCCUCACACCGGCCCCUCCCACGCUGAGAGAGGUCAGUGUGAGCCCUUGCCUCACACCGGCCCCUCCCACGCGGACAGAGGUCAGCGUGAGCCCCUUGCCUCACACCGGCCCCUCCCACGCUGAGAGAGGUCAGUGUGAGCCCUUGCCUCACCCCGGCCCCUCCCACGUGGACAGAGGUCAGCGUGAGCCCCUUGCCUCACACCGGCCCCUCCCACGCGGACAGAGGUCAGCCCGAGCCCCUUGUCUCACACCGGCCCCUCCCAUGCUGAGAGAGGUCAGCCCAAGCCCCUUGCCUCACACCGGCCCCUCCCACGCGGACAGAGGUCAGCCCGAGCUCCUUGCCUCACACCGGCCCCUCCCACGCUGAGAGAGGUCAGCCCGAGCCCCUUGCCUCACACCGGCCCCUCCCACGCUGAGAGAGGUCAGCGUGAGCCCCUUGUCUCACACCGGCCCCUCCCACGCUGAGAGAGGUCAGCCCGAGCCCCUUGCCUCACACCGGCCCCUCCCACGCUGAGAGAGGUGUGAGCCCCUUGUCUCACACCGGCCCCUCCCACGCGGACAGAGGUCAGCGUGAGCCCCUUGCCUCACCCCGGCCCCUCCCACGCUGAGAGAGGUCAGUGUGAGCCCUUGCCUCACACCGGCCCCUCCCACGCGGACAGAGGUC